RNAcentral lists this ribosomal RNA (891 nucleotides) under Triticum aestivum (bread wheat). Its description in RNAcentral is "partial small subunit ribosomal RNA". Lineage: Eukaryota; Viridiplantae; Streptophyta; Magnoliopsida; Poales; Poaceae. The record is from RNAcentral.
GUGCCGAGCUUGGCUGACAUCGUCGUGAACAAGUACAAGCUCAGAGCCGACGUCCGGAGCGUGCACAUCUCCGGCAUGGGGUGCAGCGCCGGGGUGAUCUCCUUGGAGGUCGCGAGGAACCUCCUGCAGGCGGCGCCGCGUGGCGCGUGCGCCCUAAUGGUGUCCACAGAGUCCACCUCGCUCAUCAACUAUACGGGGAAGAACCGCGCGAUGCUGCUGCCCGCCGCCCUGUUCCACAUGGGCGCGGCCGCGGUGCUGCUGUCGACGUCCAGUUCCAAGUCCCGGUUCCGGCUCACGCACAUCAUGCGGACGGUCACCGCCGCGCAAGACAGAGUGUACCGGUGCGCGUACCAGGAGGAGGACGACGUGGGUGAAAUGGGAAUAAACCUGUCCAAGGAGCUCGUGGCCGUCGCCGGCGACACGCUUCAUACCAACAUCCUCGGAAUAGGGUCCCUGGUCCUCCCACCAUAGGAGAAGCUGCUCUUUGUGCUCUCGUUCGUUCGUAAGGUUUUCAACAAAAAGUUCAAGCUAUACGUCCCCGAUUUCCGCACAGCCUUCCAACAUUUUUGCAUCCAUUGUGGUGGCCGGGCGGUGAUCGACGCGGUGCAAACUAGCUUAUGCUUAUCGGAUGAGAAUAUUGAGCCAUCGCGGAUGACGCUUCACCGGUUCGGGAACACGUCGAGCAGUUCGUUAUGGUAUGAGCUUGCAUACAUCGAGGCGAAGAGAAGGAUGCGCAAGGGCGACCGGGUGUGGAUGGUCGGGUUUGGUUCUGGGUUCAAGUGCAACAGCGCCGUGUGGCAGUGCAUCACGUCGGCCAGCAACACAGAUAUUGGCACUCCGUGGGCUGAUUCUAUUCAUAUGUAUCCGCUCAACAUUUCCGAAGUGAGCUAA